Molecule: long non-coding RNA, 1080 nt
Organism: Prunus persica (peach)
Lineage: Eukaryota; Viridiplantae; Streptophyta; Magnoliopsida; Rosales; Rosaceae
Exons: 2
Source: RefSeq, a predicted model, not a curated record
GACAAGAAGCAACCUAGAAGACCCGUCAUUGCUUCAGUAAUGUGAUGUGGUUGUUAUCAUAAAGUAGAAAAAGAUAUUUUUGUGUUCCAAUCAAAUCGUUUAAUCAUCCACCGGUGUUCCUGGAAGACUAGGUCUUGGUUUAUCCAAGAAUCAAAUUCCCAACAAAAAGACAAGGCGGCCGCCAGCAGCAGCCUUAGCUUCCAUGGAAAAGCUUCAGAGGCUUAAUUGGCAAAACGAGCACGAUGUUGUGGUUGACAGAAGAUAGAGAGCACAAAUGAACAUAUACACCCAGUCACCCAGACCCAGGAAAAUGAUUGUGUAUGAUCAGUUUUGUGCUCUCUUUUCUUCUGCCAACAUAUUAUAUAUAUUAUGAUCUUCCUGCAGUUCCAGUUUCCAGAAAUAUGCAGAUAUGCCGGCCCUUCGUUACCGAUGCUAUAUAUUCUUCUUAUAUAAUAUGAUCUUCCAAAGAAGGUAAGAGUUAGUGAUUACAUGUAUAUAUAUAUAUAUAUAUAGUCUCAUGAUCUUAGUGAUUACAUGUAUAUAUAAGCUCAGAUUAAUUGCACGGAGCAGCAAUUCUUUCUUGGCUCAAGCUCAAGGUACGCAAUCAGAUAUUGGAACUUUAUUUGUCUAGCUGCUUGUGCUUGGUGGUCACCUUUAACAUGGAACAUGUACAUGUAAUGACCGUAUGCUUACCCAAAAAGCUAGAGCAAUUAAUUUUAAGUGCAAUGCAAUGGAUGUGGAUGAUGGGGUUGGAGCUCAGAUGGGUCAAAACACAACACGUACGUUCUUGCUCUUGAGGAGCAGCAGCGUUGUUUGAACUUUGCUACAGAUAAUGAAUGCUGCUGCAAGGGGUUGCCAGAUCUCUCUAGUUUGUUGGUUUUCAUACUUGGGGAAAUGUUGUCUUUGGAUUCUAUAACUAUCAAUUGAUGGAGAGAGAGGCUUCUUCUCUUCUUCUAUCGAUCAAUCAAUCAAUCAAUCAAUCAAGGCUAUGUGUGUAUAUAUCACUCAGUUAGUCAUUCAGUCACAUGAUCGGUUCACUGUUCAUCCAUCUUAUCUUAAUUGGUUUUACAGAAUGUCUUC